GGAGCACUCCCAGGUCCUCCAGGCCAUGAGUGCGGCCCUGAUGUCUCUACUGCAGCCACAGACUGAGAGUGCAUAGGAGUGUCC
This 84-nucleotide microRNA precursor is filed under the name Gorilla gorilla gorilla (western lowland gorilla). Its description in RNAcentral is "miRNA (ENSGGOG00000039985.1)". The record is from RNAcentral. Lineage: Eukaryota; Metazoa; Chordata; Mammalia; Primates; Hominidae.